RNAcentral lists this ribosomal RNA (305 nucleotides) under uncultured bacterium. RNAcentral describes it as "bacterial SSU rRNA". It matches the Rfam family "Bacterial small subunit ribosomal RNA", at positions 334 to 637 of the family's 1533-position model. The record is from RNAcentral.
UUGGCCUACGGGGCGCAGCAGUGAGGAAUAUUGGUCAAUGGUCGGGAGACUGAACCAGCCAAGCCGCGUGAGGGAGGAAGGUACAGAGUAUCGUAAACCUCUUUUGUCAGGGAACAAAGGCGGGGACGUGUCCCCGGAUGAGUGUACCUGAAGAAAAAGCAUCGGCUAACUCCGUGCCAGCAGCCGCGGUAAUACGGAGGAUGCGAGCGUUAUCCGGAUUUAUUGGGUUUAAAGGGUGCGCAGGCGGUCUGUUAAGUCAGCGGUCAAAGCCCGGGGCUCAACCUCGGGUCGCUGUUGAAAGUGGG